AGCCAUCAUCCUUAUCUCUGUCUGCAAAACUUGCAGCAAGGAGAAGAAAUCAGCUGUAGAAAGCUAAGUGUUGGUUAACUUUAACUGGAAAAAAAAGUAGAUUAAAAAAAUUACAAUAUUCUCAAGUGCUCACUACUCAAAAGUUAGUCAUGAAAAAUUAGGAUAUCAAAACCAAAUCAGAAGUCUUAAUGAAAUAAAAAGAGGUGCUCUCAAUUUGAAUUCCAGUGCUAAGCUAUUAAGCAGCACAUUUCCAAGUAUUUUCAACAGCCUUGCGGGUGAUGUGGCAUAUGUAUAUUUUACUGUGCUUUGAUAGUAAUUGUAUUUCUGCAAAAGAGAUUUGUUCUAGGUUAUCUGUUGAGAUUCAGCCAGGUCUUUAGUGGAAAAAACCCUGCCUUUUGUCCACGUUUCACUUCUGCAUCAUCAGCCAGACUGUUUCCAUAUAAAAACCGUGACUGGAAUUUGCAGUCAUAAAUGGAUUGCAUAAAUGAUAGAUGGAGAAGCUCCCAUAACCUGAUGAGCUCAUUAUGGAAUUAGAUCUUUAACUCAAGUGCAAGACUAAUCAUAGAGGAAGAAUGUUCAUGCUGAAGCUGGUUGAAAAGAAUGGCAACUCAAAAAGCUUUAGAAGACAUCAAAAAUCUUUAAAAAUCAAGUUACACAGGAAGCUGAGAGCUGGAAGACACUGCUGGAGGAAAAAUGCCUGUGGUGCACAGGAAUUUGCACAGCUUCAGGCCUGGAUCCUGCAGCAGCUUCCCCUCUCCUCCACUGGGGUGAGACCCUCAGUGCUGGGAGAGCUUUGGUUGUGA
RNAcentral lists this long non-coding RNA (803 nucleotides) under Parus major (Great Tit). RNAcentral describes it as "lncRNA (ENSPMJG00000000362.1)". Lineage: Eukaryota; Metazoa; Chordata; Aves; Passeriformes; Paridae. The record is from RNAcentral.